GCCAGAUCCAGUUCCAAGUGCCGAACCGAACGCGGAGCCAGGAGAUGCAGUCUCACUCUGUGGCCCAGGCUGGAGUGCAGUGGCGUGAUCUUGGCUCACUGCAACCUCCAUCUCCUGAGUUCAAGCAAUUCUCCUGUCUCAGCCUCCUAAAUAGUUGGAAUUACAGGCAAGCACCACCACGCUCAGCUACAGGAAUUUAGCCAAUUCAGAGGAAAUCUUCCCCAUAAUUAUGGAACUUUCUUACAGAUUUUACCAAGUCUGGUCAACCCAAUAAGAAAAAGACUGAAAUAACAACAACAACUUCAACAAAUAAAAAAAAACAGUUAAGCUAAAUAAACAGAUGAUUGCAGAAUUUAUGUGAUUACUGGGUACUCUAAUGGUAAGGAGAAAUUAAGACCAGCUAGUUGUUAAUCUUAACUUUUAGUCAUUAAGGAGAAUUUCCAAGACAAAACUGCAAUCCAGCUGCUUACCUAGGAAUACGGCUUAGGCUGAAAACUUCUAUCGUCUUAGAAAUGGGAAUAAACCUCACACUCACCGUCCCUGUUGGAAGCAAGCUGAAACUCCAAAAAAAAAGUUGCCUGUUGUCCAUCAUCAUGGUGAAGCGGCGUCGUUGUCUGGGUUCUGAAGGCUGGGAAGUCCAAGAUUAAGGCGUCAACAGGUCUUGUGUCUGCUGAGGGCUGUCUCCCUGAUUUGCAGAUGUCUGCUUUCUUGCUGUGUCCUCACAUGGGAAAAAGAGAGAGAAUUUGCUGGUAUUCCUUUUUAUAAGGACACUAACCCCAUUCAUGAGGGUCCCACCCUCAUGACCUCGCCUAAACCUAUAACCUCCAAGGACUCCAUUUCCAAAUACCAGCAACCACAUGUGUGAGCUUAGAAGAGGAUCCUUCCCCAGGUGAGCCUUGAGAUGACCCUGGCCUGUGACUUGAUGGCAGCUUUUGAGAGACUGAGCCAGAGGCCUCCAGACUGCUUACUUGUUAAGGUAAGAAGCACCUGUGAGUCUACUACUCAUUGCUUUAACCUGGCCAUAAUUUACAUUUAGCUUUAUAGUCCCCCUACAUUUCAAAACCUUCUCUUCUUCCCACCAAAAGUAACAGUCAUCCCACCACUUUGUUAAUUAACCCAUUUUUAUUUAUGUAUUUUUGUUGCUUCUAUAAUUUUGCCAAUAUAUUUUAUUUCUAACUUUAUAGAAAACAUAUACUAAGCAAUCUUCUUUCCCCACUCAAUAGUAUAUUUCUAAAUAUACUAUUUAGAAAUAUAAUAUAUAUUAUAUUAUAUUUAGAAAUAUAAUAUAUAUUAUAUUAU
RNAcentral lists this long non-coding RNA (1299 nucleotides) under Homo sapiens (human). RNAcentral's name for it is "HSALNT0198466". The record is from RNAcentral. Lineage: Eukaryota; Metazoa; Chordata; Mammalia; Primates; Hominidae.